RNAcentral lists this long non-coding RNA (283 nucleotides) under Homo sapiens (human). RNAcentral's name for it is "HSALNT0182909". The record is from RNAcentral. Lineage: Eukaryota; Metazoa; Chordata; Mammalia; Primates; Hominidae.
GCCUGUGAGACUCUCCGCGGAGGACGCGGCUGAGCCAUGCUGACGUGCAGAACUUCCAGCUAUGGAAUUUGUGUUUAGGCUGUUCGGUUUGUGGUCAUUUGUUACAGAGCAAUAGAAAAAUAAUACAGGGGUCUUCUGUCAUUUUGUCUGCUAAAUCUGGCAACUUAAAUCCCAGGAAGGGGCCCAUGGACUUCGGACUGCAUCCAUGGCACAAAAAGAUGAAGAACCGGGCUAGAGGCCAGGCCCAGUGGCUCAUGCCUAUAAUCCCAGCACUUUGGGAGGC